UACGAAGGGGGCUAGCGUUGUUCGGAUUUACUGGGCGUAAAGCGCACGUAGGCGGAUCGUUAAGUCGGGGGUGAAAUCCUGGAGCUCAACUCCAGAACUGCCUUCGAUACUGGAGAUCUUGAGUCCGGGAGAGGUGAGUGGAAUUCCUGGUGUAGCGGUGAAAUGCGUAGAUAUCAGGAGGAACACCCAUGGCGAAGGCAGCUCGCUGGCCUGCAACUGACGCUGUAGUGCGAAAGCGUGGGGAGCAAACAGG
Molecule: ribosomal RNA, 253 nt
Filed under: uncultured bacterium
Lineage: Bacteria
Description: partial 16S ribosomal RNA
Rfam family: Bacterial small subunit ribosomal RNA
Source: RNAcentral